Molecule: ribosomal RNA, 253 nt
Filed under: uncultured prokaryote
Description: partial 16S ribosomal RNA
Rfam family: Bacterial small subunit ribosomal RNA
Source: RNAcentral
ACGUAGGGUGCGAGCGUUGUCCGGAUUUAUUGGGCGUAAAGAGCUCGUAGGCGGCUCGUCGCGUCGACCGUGAAAUCCCGCAGCUUAACUGCGGGCUUGCGGUUGAUACGGGCGGGCUAGAGUUCGGUAGGGGAGACUGGAAUUCCUGGUGUAGCGGUGAAAUGCGCAGAUAUCAGGAAGAACACCCGUGGCGAAGGCGGCUCUCUGGGACGGUGCUGACGCUGAGACGCGAAAGCGUGGGGAGCGAACAGGA